This 279-nucleotide ribosomal RNA is filed under the name uncultured bacterium. RNAcentral's name for it is "partial 16S ribosomal RNA". It matches the Rfam family "Bacterial small subunit ribosomal RNA", at positions 506 to 784 of the family's 1533-position model. The record is from RNAcentral.
UGCCAGCCGCCGCGGUAAUACGGAGGGGGCUAGCGUUGUUCGGAAUUGCUGGGCGUAAAGCGCACGUAGGCGGCGUGUAUAGUUAGGGGUGAAAGGCCUGGGCUCAACCUAGGAACUGCCUCUAAUACUGACAUGCUAGAAUUCGGGAGAGGGUAGCGGUAUUCCAAGUGUAGAGGUGAAAUUCGUAGAUAUUUGGAAGAACACCAGUGGCGAAGGCGGCUACCUGGACCGAUAUUGACGCUGAGGUGCGAAAGCGUGGGGAGCGAACAGGAUUAGAUA